Molecule: transfer RNA, 64 nt
Filed under: Himacerus nodipes
Lineage: Eukaryota; Metazoa; Arthropoda; Insecta; Hemiptera; Nabidae
Description: tRNA-His
Source: RNAcentral
ACCUAAAUAGUUUAUUAUUAGAACAAUAAUUUGUGGGGUUAUAGGUAUAUUUAUAUUUUAGGUA